AUACGGAGGGUGCAAGCGUUACUCGGAAUCACUGGGCGUAAAGCGCGCGCAGGCGGCUAUUUAAGUUGGAUGUGGAAGCCUACGGCUCAACCGUAGAACUGCAUCCAAAACUAUUUAGCUAGAGUGUGGGAGAGGAAGAUGGAAUUAGUUGUGUAGGGGUAAAAUCCGUAGAGAUAACUAGGAAUACCAAAAGCGAAGGCAAUCUUCUGGAACACUACUGACGCUGAGGCGCGAAAGCGUGGGGAGCAAACAGGAUUAGAAACCCUGUAGUCC
RNAcentral lists this ribosomal RNA (273 nucleotides) under uncultured bacterium. RNAcentral's name for it is "partial 16S ribosomal RNA". It matches the Rfam family "Bacterial small subunit ribosomal RNA", at positions 523 to 796 of the family's 1533-position model. The record is from RNAcentral.